GGCUGAUACUGGGCUCUCUGAAGAAUGUCAGACAUCUUGGACCAUCCUCUGAUGAUUCAUCUGACCCCUCAAUGUUGUGUCAACUCUGGACAACUUUGCUGAGCAGUGAGGCAGAGAUGGACUUCACCAGCUUACUUAGUCUCUGUGGAAAUGAGUUGCACCUUCCAGUCCAGGGUGAAAGACAAGUGUUUGAGAGAGCAGAAGAAGUGAUGACACAGAGUCUAGAGAGGGUUAAUGUCUGUCUACACUGGGAUCAGAGAACUGUUCUCAGUGAAGCUCUCAGCAAAACCAUUUUAAAGUGUUUACCAAAUAUCAACAAACUCAGGUGAGUAUCAUCCAGCAACAUAUCGGUCAGCGAUCAGUAUCAUCCAGCACCAUAUCGGUCAGCGAUCAGUAUCAUCCAGCACCAUAUCGGUCAGUGAUCAGUAUCAUCCAGCACCAUAUCGGUCAGCGAUCAGUAUCAUCCAGCACCAUAUCGGUCAGUGAUCAGUAUCAUCCAGCAACAUAUCGGUCAGCGAUCAGUAUCAUCCAGCAGCAUGUGUCUGUUUCUGUUGUUAUAGUGUAGUAUGUCGAUUUUGAAAAGGCUUUUAAAGUAUGACUACAAUAGAUAUAUAAAUGCCUGGACUUGUAUCGCUCGUCGGAAGAAGUGGACCAAGGUGCAGCGUGUCACACCCUGACCAUAGUUUGCUUUGUAUGUUUCUAUGUUUUGUUUUGUCAGGGUGUGAUCUGAGUGGGCAUUCUAUGUUGUGUGUCUAGUUUGUCUGUUUCUGUGUUUGGCCUGAUAUGGUUCUCAAUCAGAGGCAGGUGUUAGUCAUUGUCUCUGAUUGGGAACCAUAUUUAGGUAGCCUGUUUGGUGUUGGGUUUUGUGGGUGAUUGUUCCUGUCUCUGUGUUUGUUGCACCAGAUAGGGCUGUUUUGGUUUUUCACGUUUAUUGUUUUUGUAUAUUGUUCGUAUUUUCAUCUUUAUUAAAGAUGUUUAUGAAUCACCACGCUGCGUUUUGGUCCGCCUCUCCUUCCCAGGAGGAACCGCGUGACAGAAUCACCCACCACAACAGGACCAAGCGGCGUGGUAACGGGCAACAGCAACAGCGAUGUCAGGAUUUCGGGACAUGGGAGCAGAAUCUGGACUACACAACUUGGGAAGAGAUAGACAGGUGGGCGGUCGACCCAGGGAGAGUGCCGGAGCCCGCCUGGGAUUCGAUGGAGCAGUGCGUGGAAGGUUACAGGAGAACGAGGUUGGCGAAGUGAACACGGCGGGCAAGGAAGCCCGAGAGGCAGCCGCAAAAAUGUCUUGGUGGGUGGCACACAGGAAGCAUGGCGAAGCCAGGUAGGAGACCUGAGCCAACUUCCUGUGCUUACCGGGGGAGAGAGACCGGGCAGGCACUGUGUUAUGCUGUGGAGCGCACGGUGUCCCCAGUGCGGGUGCAUAGCCCGGUGCGGUACAUACCAGCUCCUCGUAUCGGCCGGGCUAGAGUAAGCAUCGAGCCAAGUGCCAUGAAGCCAUGAAGCCGGCUCUACGCAUCUGGUCUCCAGUGCAUCUCCUUGGGCCGGCUUACAUGGCACCAGCCUUGCGCACGGUGUCCCCGGUUCGCCUGCAUAGCCCAGUGCGGGCUAUUCCACCUCGCCGCACUGGCAGGGCGACCGGGAGCAUUCAACCAGGUAAGGUUGGGCAGGCUCGGUGCUCAAGAGCUCCAGUGCGCCUGCACGGUCCGGUCUAUCCGGUGCCACCUCCACGCAUCAGCCCUCCGGUGGCAGCUCCCCUCACUCGCCCUGAGGUGCAUGUCCUCGGCCCAGUACCACCAGUGCCGGCACCACGCAUCAGGCCUAUAGUGCGUCCCGCCGGUCCAGCGCUGCCAGAGCCUUCCUCCUCUCCAGCGCUGCUGGAGUCUCCAGUCUGCCCAGCGCCGCCUGAGCUACCCGUCUGCCCAGCACCGCCUGAGCUACCAGUCUGCCCAGCGCCGCCUGGGCUACCAGUCUGCGCAGCGCCGCCUGAGCUACCCGUCUGCCCAGCGCCAUCAGAGUCUCCCGUCUGUCCUGAGCCUCCAGUGCCGCCAGUCUGCAAGGAGCCGCCAGUGCCGCCAGUCUGCAAGGAGCCGCCAGUGCCGCCAGUCUGCAAGGAGCCGCCAGUGCCGCCAGUCUGCAAGGAGCCUCCAGUGCCGCCAGUCUGCAAGGAGCCGCCAGUUCCGCCAGUCUGCCAGGAGCCGCCAGUGCCGCCAGUCUGCCAGGAGCCGUCAGUGCCGCCAGUCUGCCUGGAGCCGCCAGUCAGCCAGGAUCUGCCAGAGUUGUCAGUCUGUCCCGAGCUGCCCCUCUGUCCCGAGCUGCCCCUCUGUCCCGAGCUGCCCCACCUUGGGGGGGGGGGUGUACUGUCACACCCUGACCAUAGUUUGCUUUGUAUGUUUCUAUGUUUUGGUCAGGGUGUGAUCUGAGUGGGCAUUCUAUGUUUCGGUUUUUUCACGUUUAUUGUUUUUGUAUAUUGUUCGUAUUUUCAUCUUUAUUAAAGAUGUUUAUGAAUCACCAUGCUGCAUUUUCCCAGGAAGAACCGCGUAACACUGCAUGUUCAUGAUCUUUAUUUCUCAGAACACUAAAACAACAAACAAAAUGUCACGUUCCGUAGACAGAACAAAAAACAACAUCCCACAACCUAAGGUGGCAAAACAUGCUGCCUAAGUAUGAUUCCCAAUCAGAGACAACGGUAGACAGCUGUCCCUGAUUGAGAACACACUUCACUGCCCACAUGAACAAAUACUUUCACUUUACUAUAGAAUACUACAAGAAAGUAUCCAAAACACUACAGUAAAGUCUGCAGUCUAGUAUACUAGUAUUUUUUAUAAAGAAGACAACACAACAAGAGACACACAUGACAACAGUGUUCUGUCUGUAAAAGAGGCCGCAGUCACAUUCUCCCUGCUUCUGAACAUAGACAUUCUUGUGUUUUAUGGGUCACAGGUUUACUCCUCUACAACAUC
Long non-coding RNA from Oncorhynchus tshawytscha (Chinook salmon), 2965 nucleotides. The record is from Ensembl. NCBI's taxonomy places the organism in Eukaryota, Metazoa, Chordata, Actinopteri, Salmoniformes, Salmonidae.